This 70-nucleotide transfer RNA is filed under the name Dipodomys ordii (Ord's kangaroo rat). It matches the Rfam family "tRNA". From Rfam's summary of the family: Transfer RNA (tRNA) molecules are approximately 80 nucleotides in length. Their secondary structure includes four short double-helical elements and three loops (D, anti-codon, and T loops). Lineage: Eukaryota; Metazoa; Chordata; Mammalia; Rodentia; Heteromyidae. The record is from Rfam by way of RNAcentral.
GGGAAUGUAGCUUAGUGGUAGAGUGCUUGCCUAGCAUGCAGGAAGUCCUGGGUUUGAUUCCUCAGUACCA